Molecule: long non-coding RNA, 560 nt
Organism: Quercus robur (English oak)
Lineage: Eukaryota; Viridiplantae; Streptophyta; Magnoliopsida; Fagales; Fagaceae
Exons: 2
Source: RefSeq, a predicted model, not a curated record
CUAUUUUGCUCUUUGAACUCAAAGAUGAGCAUGGUAGUUCUAUACUUCUAUCUAUCAAUGUUUUCACUUGAUCAAGAAGUGGUGUGGUGACUUUGAUAUCUUCGUUCCUGCAGCACAAGAACAAUCAAGUCAAUUUUAAGCUAUGGUGAGAAGCUCGUACAUAUGGAGAUAUCCAAUUGAUGCCGAUUACAUCUGGAUUGCUUUGAAAACAUAUGCAAUUUGCAUCUAAGGUCUUGAAGGUGAUUCGUUAGAUUGAGAAAUGCACCAGAUUGCAAGAGCUCUCUCAAGUUUACUAUGCUCCUAUUGGACCCUUCGAAUGAUAAGUCAGGGAGCUCUUGGAUUGUGCCCUGCCAAAACCUCCUACAUGUCUAAUUAAUAACACUUUUUUUAUUCCAACUGGUCGAUUGUAGUUUUGGCCUUAAGGAAUGCAAGAAUCAGUUUUGGCUCUAGGAAAAAAAAUGUUGAAGUAUGGACUAUGGAAUAGACUUGUCAUGAGUCAUGGCUAUGACAUUGUUUUUGCCUUUUAUUGUUGCUAUAGUAUAAUCAAAUCAUUGAGCAAA